RNAcentral lists this ribosomal RNA (975 nucleotides) under Leiochrodes sp. COL383. RNAcentral's name for it is "bacterial SSU rRNA". It matches the Rfam family "Eukaryotic small subunit ribosomal RNA", at positions 40 to 935 of the family's 1831-position model. The record is from RNAcentral. Lineage: Eukaryota; Metazoa; Arthropoda; Insecta; Coleoptera; Tenebrionidae.
AAGAUUAAGCCAUGCAUGUCUCAGUACAAGCCAAAUUAAGGUGAAACCGCGAAAGGCUCAUUAAAUCAGUUAUGGUUCCUUAGAUCGUACCCACAUUUACUUGGAUAACUGUGGUAAUUCUAGAGCUAAUACAUGCAAACAGAGCUUCGACCGGAAACGGAAGAAGCGCUUUUAUUAGAUCAAAACCAAUCGGUGGCGGUUUAAUCGCCGUCAUCGUACCAUUUGGUGACUCUGAAUAACUUUAAGCUGAUCGCACGGUCACGCACCGGCGACGCAUCUUUCAAAUGUCUGCCUUAUCAACUGUCGAUGGUAGGUUCUGCGCCUACCAUGGUUGUAACGGGUAACGGGGAAUCAGGGUUCGAUUCCGGAGAGGGAGCCUGAGAAACGGCUACCACAUCCAAGGAAGGCAGCAGGCGCGCAAAUUACCCACUCCCGGCACGGGGAGGUAGUGACGAAAAAUAACGAUACGGGACUCAUCCGAGGCCCCGUAAUCGGAAUGAGUACACUUUAAAUCCUUUAACGAGGAUCAAUUGGAGGGCAAGUCUGGUGCCAGCAGCCGCGGUAAUUCCAGCUCCAAUAGCGUAUAUUAAAGUUGUUGCGGUUAAAAAGCUCGUAGUCGAAUCUGUGUUUCGCGCCGCUGGUUCAUCGUUCGCGGUGUUAACUGGCGUGUCGCGAAACGUCCUGCCGGUGGACUUAGCUUUUGCGUGCCAAAAGUGCGUUGAAAGCGGUCCAAAUUACAAUCCUGCCGCGGUGCUCUUCACUGAGUGUCUUGGUGGGCCGGCACAUUUACUUUGAACAAAUUAGAGUGCUUAAAGCAGGCUAAAAUUUCGCCUGAAUACUGUGUGCAUGGAAUAAUGGAAUAGGACCUCGGUUCUAUUUUGUUGGUUUUCGGAACCCCGAGGUAAUGAUUAAUAGGAACGGAUGGGGGCAUUCGUAUUGCGACGUUAGAGGUGAAAUUCUUGGAUCGUCGCAAGA